UCAACAAUCAGAAAGAGAUGAAAAAAAUUAAGAAAACUGAUUAACCGAAACUUAUUGUUAAUCUCAAGGCUUAACUUUAAAUCUUCUUGACGAAUCAAAUUGUUUUUUCAUUUUGAAUCUAAUUAGAUGAUUUGCCAUUCGCUUACAUGUAAUAAUCUUAAAUUGUCAACUGAUUAACAAUCAAAAUUAAUUACAAUGGAUAAGAAAAGGUAAGAUAAUCCAAUUGAUUUUCUUAAGUUUAUCUAUUUGAUCACCUGAUUCACUAAUUGUUACAUUGUUGAUUUAAAGGUAAACAAAAUCUUAUUGAAACUAAUUAAUUGUCUCCAGACAAAGUUGAUUAUCGUUAAUUACGUUUGAUCAUUGAUUUAAUUCCGUCUCAACGGUUGAUAUUCACAAGAUAAAUUAACUUAAAUUUAACAGAAAAGUUUCUCUUCUCCCAAUCAGUUACCCUUAUUAUCUGGAUUGUUUUUUCCUCAUCUAAUUGUCUUUGAACAGGUAAUCCUCUUUUCUUUAAUCCUUGACAACACGACCAAUUAAGAGUAACAAUUAAUUCACCUUUCCGUUUGGUGUUCAAUGUAAGUCAUUUGUUUUUAUUUCCAUUCUCAGAACUUUUUUUCAUCUUUUCCUGAUAUUUUUCCAUCUCUAGAAAAUUAUCAUGUUGUUAACUUUAUCUUCUUCUUUACAUCUUACUAAUAACGAUAAAUUCUGUUGAAAAUUCAUGAGGUAAUCGCUUAGAAUCCUGAUGACGAUUAAAAAAUAUUCCAAUAAGGAAACAAUUUAAGUCGAAAUUGUAAAAAGAAUUCGAAAAUGAAUCAGCUGAAUCUAUCGAUGAACUUUUCCUGAACUCUAUUUAUUUAUAAAUGAUUUGGAUAGAAAAGUCAUUUAAUCAAACAACAUCAACAAGUAUUGACCUCAACCUGAACUUGGUCAACAUUUAAUUAUACAAAAUGAUUGAUAGAAAUCAAUGAUUUCAUCUUUAAAUAAUAUUUCCAACCUGAAAUAAACCAAUGAAAUGAUGAUGGAUGAUCAACAAGGAAACAACUUUGACCAUGUUAAUAUACAAGAAAAUUCAGUGACCAUUAUCAGAAAUGAAUCUUGAAUCAAUUCAUUUCUCAAUUUGAUAUUUUCACUGAUGGAAAUGGAUCAUGAAAAGUGUUACAAUUAAAGAGAAUGGACAUUUUUUUUUUCAACUGACCAAAUGGUUACACAUCAAUUAACCUGAUUAUCACCAAGUUGACAAUUAUCAUUUGAUGGAGAGAUGAAAUUUUCUCUUACCCUGUAAUAAUAAGAUUGUUCAACUUGCACCGGUGAAAUGGUAAACGAAAGGUACAUUGGAACACAAAAUAUUGGUACAAUCAAAUAGAUCGAGAUGAUUGAGACAACAGCGUUUCUCAUUGUGAACCAAGUUCUACUUUGGGUUGGAUAACUGGACAUUAUCGAGUUGCCAUAAAAUGGAUUCCCGAUCACAAGCAUAUUAGAUGAUCUCGAAUUACUAAUGUUUACCAUUAUCAAGUUUGAUGGACUUUCUAUUGGAAAAGGUUCAUCUUAAUGGAUGACGAUUAUGUGACAUCCUGGACACUUACCUUACGGAUAAAAGCCUCCAAAUGGCAAGAAGAAUAGUUAACCAUGUUGAUAUUGAAUGAAAUACAACGGAAAAAUGAGCAUGAAAAAGUGUAAAAACUGUCCAUGGGUAGGAAU
Long non-coding RNA from Panonychus citri (citrus red mite), 1698 nucleotides. RefSeq lists it as uncharacterized. The transcript has 4 exons. Lineage: Eukaryota; Metazoa; Arthropoda; Arachnida; Trombidiformes; Tetranychidae. The record is from RefSeq and is a predicted model, not a curated record.